CCUACGGGUGGCAGCAGUCGAGAAUCAUUCACAAUGGGGGAAACCCUGAUGGUGCGACGCCGCGUGGGGGAAUGAAGGUCUUCGGAUUGUAAACCCCUGUCAUGUGGGAGCAAAUUAAAAAGAUAGUACCACAAGAGGAAGAGACGGCUAACUCUGUGCCAGCAGCCGCGGUAAUACAGAGGCCUCAAGCCUUGUUCGGAAUGCAUGGGCGUAAAGCGUGCGUAGGCUGUUUCGUAAGUCGGGUGUGAAAGGCGCGGGCUCAACCCGCGGACGGCACAUGAUACUGGCAGACUAGAGUAGUGGAGGGGGAAGCGGAAUGCUCGGUGUAGCGGUGAAAUGCGUAGAUAUCGAGAGGAACACUCGUGGCGAAGGCGGGUUGCUGGACCUUAACUGACGCUGAGGCACGAAGGCCAGGGGAGCGAAAGGGAUUAGAUACCCGGGUAGUC
Molecule: ribosomal RNA, 446 nt
Filed under: uncultured bacterium
Lineage: Bacteria
Description: partial 16S ribosomal RNA
Rfam family: Bacterial small subunit ribosomal RNA
Source: RNAcentral